RNAcentral lists this long non-coding RNA (2228 nucleotides) under Equus asinus (donkey). Its description in RNAcentral is "lncRNA (ENSEASG00005030850.1)". Lineage: Eukaryota; Metazoa; Chordata; Mammalia; Perissodactyla; Equidae. The record is from RNAcentral.
CUUUGUUCCUACUUCUUUCUUUCCAGGGUUAAGAGUUGAGUGUCUGUCUGGGCACAAAGGGAACACCUGCAGGCUGUCCUAGAUCAGGAGUGACCCACAUUAGCAGAAAGAGCUGAACAGCCACAGCUGGGGCCCGGUCUUUACGGCAAUUCAAGGGUUGCUUGCACAGCACGCUCACAUGUGGUUUGGUAAAUGAUUUUCUCAAUUAACUCAUGAGUUAAUAAACUUCCUGUUACUUAAAGAGAUGCUCCAUAUCCCAGGGACCUUCAGCCUUCAUUCAACAGCCAGGAAAAAGGGAAAGAAACGGGGACUCAUCUCAUGGGUACUGAACCAGCAGAAAAAAGACUCUAGAGCAAUAUUGUUUUUUUUUAAAUAAAGCAUUAGAUUUGCUCUUUAGUUGGUGUUGUAGGGGGACAGCAAGCGUUAUUCACUCUCGAGGUAUCUCAGGGCAUGUCAAGUACGGUCGCACCUGCCUGGAAUGAAAUGUGCUCAGGCCACAGUAAGACACUGAGUGACUCAUGCAGAGCUCGUCUGGGAGGCCAAGCAGCCGUGCUGAUCAGUGAUGCAAAGAUUAAACAGAAGUUAAACACCGUGUUCGAGACUCACCGAGCCCUUUCUGGUGCGCUGGGCGGACACAUGACGACUCUGCAGCUGGCAGCUGCGGUCCCAGCCCACUCGCAGGACGCCUGGUCCCUGCUGGGUUUUCGCCAGGCUGCACCCAAGCAUUCCCUCUCCCUAAGGGAGUCCAGGAGUAAAUCAGACCCCUGUGUUUGGAUGAGAAAAUUGGCCGAGGGAAGGUCUCUGGGUGGCCAAGAAACCAGGAAAUCCUGUUCAAUGAAAUAAAGGUUGGAACUGCCUUUGCUUAACUGACAUCAGCUCUGGGAGUGACUGACCUGCCUCUCGAAGUGUCAGCCGGGGGCUGGCGGGAAGUGACUGGGACAGAGGAAGCAGCACUGCUGGUGGGAAGAGAAAUUGUAACAUCCAUUUUAGAGGGCAAUUUUACAAUAUAGAACUGCGCGUGCCUUUGGACCCAUCAAUUUCAUAUUCAAAUAUAUUUAAAAUAUGCAUAUUUUAAUGUGAUCAUAUAUGCUUUUAGAUAUUGUUUUGUUUUCCCAAUUAGCAGUAUGUUCUGGAAAUCUUGCCAUCAGAAUGCUCCAACACUAACUUUUUAAUGCUUGCAUGAUGUACAGAUGUACCAUAUUCUAUCUAAUUCCUGCUGUUGGACAUCUAAGAUCAAGCUGAUGUUUUGUAUUAUAAACAAUGAUGCAAGGAACGCCUUUGUAGCUAAACUGUUGGUUACUUUGUAGAUUUUGUUGUUGUUAGUAUAAAUACCUGCAGCGGAUGUAUUUAAUGAAAAGGUAUGCAUUUCAGUAUCUAUUGCUGGGUAAUAAACCAUCCCAAAACAUAGUGGCUUAAAGGAACAAUUAAUUAUUUCCUGUGAUUCUGAGGGUUGGCUGGAGAUAUACUUUGCAGUGUGAUUCCCUUCUGGGGUCACUCAUGUGACUGCAUUCCCCUGGAGGGUCUACUGGGCUGGAAGGUUCCAGGUGGCCUCACUCACAUGUCUGGCCAUUGGUGCCAGCAGUUGCCUGAAGCCCUCGGUUCUCCUCCACGUGGCCCCUCAGCCUCCAGCGGGCUAGCUCAGGCAGCUGCCUGGUGUGGUCUCAGGACAAGAGUGGAGGCUGCAGUGCCCCUUGCAGUCCAGACUCCCAAACUUACACAAUGUUACUUCUGCCACAUUUUAUUGGCCAAAGCCAGCCCCAGGGCCAGCGCAGACUCAGGAGGAUGUAGAAAUAGACACCAUCUCUUGAUGAGUGGAGCUGCAAGGCCAAGGGACACGGACACUGGGGAGUGGUGGUCACUGGGCCCAUUAUUAUAAUGAUUUACCACAGUAGUUACACCCUAAACUCUUUUCCAGUAUGCUGCCAAACUGUCCUCCGAAAGGCAGAACCAGUUUAUACUGCCAGCUGCCAGCGUCCUUUGGGAAUUUUUAUCUUUAAACAAACUAGUGCAACCACUUUUGGAAGAGUAUACACCAUACGUGGUAGCAGAGGAGGCUUCUGUCCCUUGAGUGGCCAUAGUCAUACCCCUGGGUGGUAACCCAGGGACCUGGCAGCACGGCCGACGUUCAUGCAGGGCAGUUAAAGGACUGUCAUUGUCCUCAGGUAGAGCAGGAGCUAAGCUCUACAUUUCUCUUGUCUGUCCUUUUGGCACCCUCUCCAGGGCUGUCA